AGGACGAACGCUGGCGGCGUGCCUAACACAUGCAAGUCGAGCGAGGAGAUCCUUCGGGAUGAUCCUAGCGGCGGACGGGUGGGUAACACGUGGGCAACCUGCCUCAUAGAGAGGAAUAGCCUUCCGAAAGGGAGAUUAAUACCUCAUAACAUUGCAGUUUCGCAUGGAACAGCAAUUAAAGGAGUAAUCCGCUAUGAGAUGGGCCCGCGGCGCAUUAGCUAGUUGGUGAGGUAAUGGCUCACCAAGGCGACGAUGCGUAGCCGACCUGAGAGGGUGAUCGGCCACAUUGGGACUGAGACACGGCCCAGACUCCUACGGGAGGCAGCAGUGGGGAAUAUUGCACAAUGGGGGAAACCCUGAUGCAAGCAACGCCGCGUGAGUGAUGACGGCCUUCGGGUUGUAAAGCUCUGUCUUCAGGGACGAUAAUGACGGUACCUGAGGAGGAAGCCACGGCUAACUACGUGCCAGCAGCCGC
Molecule: ribosomal RNA, 475 nt
Filed under: uncultured bacterium
Lineage: Bacteria
Description: bacterial SSU rRNA
Rfam family: Bacterial small subunit ribosomal RNA
Source: RNAcentral